RNAcentral lists this transfer RNA (90 nucleotides) under Nocardiopsis kunsanensis. Its description in RNAcentral is "tRNA-Pro". The record is from RNAcentral. Lineage: Bacteria; Bacillati; Actinomycetota; Actinomycetes; Streptosporangiales; Nocardiopsidaceae.
GUCGCGGUGGUCGAGGGCGGCACGGUCCGCGAGCUCGGCACCCACGAGGGGUUGUUGUCCCGCGGCGGUUCCUACGCCGACCUGUGGCAC